GGAGGGGUCGCCUAGCGGUUUUAUGGCAGAAGUCUUGAAAACUUCCAGGGGUGCAAGCUCCUCGUGAGUUCGAAUCUCACCCCCUCCG
Non-coding RNA from Candidatus Daviesbacteria bacterium, 88 nucleotides. NCBI's taxonomy places the organism in Bacteria, Candidatus Daviesiibacteriota. The record is from Rfam.